UUGCAAUGAUGACAAUCUUAGGACACCUUUGGAUUAAACCAUGAAAACAUUUUUUGAUCUGAGCAAC
This is a small nucleolar RNA of Polyodon spathula (Mississippi paddlefish), 67 nucleotides long. RefSeq annotates it as small nucleolar RNA SNORD58. Lineage: Eukaryota; Metazoa; Chordata; Actinopteri; Acipenseriformes; Polyodontidae. The transcript has a single exon. The record is from RefSeq and is a predicted model, not a curated record.